This 491-nucleotide ribosomal RNA is filed under the name uncultured bacterium. RNAcentral's name for it is "bacterial SSU rRNA". It matches the Rfam family "Bacterial small subunit ribosomal RNA", at positions 15 to 507 of the family's 1533-position model. The record is from RNAcentral.
GAUCCUGGCUCAGGAUGAACGCUGGCGGCGUGCUUAACACAUGCAAGUCGAACGGAGUUUACCACCAUGAUUCUUCGGAAUGAUAAUGGUAAACUUAGUGGCGGACGGGUGAGUAACGCGUGGGUAACCUGCCUCACACUGGGGGACAACAGUUGGAAACGACUGCUAAUACCGCAUAAGCGCACAGCUUCGCAUGAAGCAGUGUGAAAAACUCCGGUGGUGUGAGAUGGACCCGCGUCUGAUUAGCUGGUUGGUGAGGUAACGGCCCACCAAGGCGACGAUCAGUAGCCGGCCUGAGAGGGUGAACGGCCACAUUGGGACUGAGACACGGCCCAAACUCCUACGGGAGGCAGCAGUGGGGAAUAUUGCACAAUGGGGGAAACCCUGAUGCAGCGACGCCGCGUGAGUGAGGAAGUAUUUCGGUAUGUAAAACUCUAUCAGCAGGGAAGAUAAUGACGGUACCUGACUAAGAAGCACCGGCUAAAUACGUG